RNAcentral lists this ribosomal RNA (478 nucleotides) under uncultured bacterium. RNAcentral's name for it is "bacterial SSU rRNA". It matches the Rfam family "Bacterial small subunit ribosomal RNA", at positions 44 to 507 of the family's 1533-position model. The record is from RNAcentral.
GUGGUUGAAAUGAUAUGAAGAACUUGUUCAGAUUUGAUUUCAACAUUGCAAUGAGUGGCGAACGGGUGAGUAACACGUGGGAAACCUACCUCUUAGCAGGGGAUAACAUUGGAAACAAAUGCUAAUACCGUAUAAUAAUUAAAACCGCAUGGUUUUAGUUUAAAAGAUGGUCUUGCUAUCACUAAGAGAUGGUCCCGCGGUGUAUUAGUUAGUUGGUGAGGUAAUGGCUCACCAAGACAAUGAUACAUAGCCGAGUUGAGAGACUGACCGGCCACAAUGGGACUGAGACACGGCCCAUACUCCUACGGGAGGCAGCAGUAGGGAAUCUUCCACAAUGGACGAAAGUCUGAUGGAGCAACGCCGCGUGUGUGAUGAAGGGUUUCGGCUCGUAAAACACUGUUGUAAGAGAAGAAUGACAUUGAGAGUAACUGUUCAAUGUGUGACGGUAUCUUACCAGAAAGGAACGGCUAAAUACGUG